This 500-nucleotide ribosomal RNA is filed under the name uncultured bacterium. RNAcentral's name for it is "partial 16S ribosomal RNA". It matches the Rfam family "Bacterial small subunit ribosomal RNA", at positions 28 to 523 of the family's 1533-position model. The record is from RNAcentral.
GACGAACGCUGGCGGCGUGCCUAAUACAUGCAAGUCGAGCGAGACUCUUCGGAGUCUAGCGGCGGACGGGUGAGUAACACGUGGGCAACCUGCCUGUAAGACUGGGAUAACACCGGGAACCCGGGGCUAAUACCGGAUAAUCCUUUUCCUCUCAUGAGGAAAAGCUGAAAGUCGGUUUCGCCUGACACUUACAGAUGGGCCCGCGGCGCAUUAGCUAGUUGGUGAGGUAACGGCUCACCAAGGCGACGAUGCGUAGCCGACCUGAGAGGGUGAUCGGCCACACUGGGACUGAGACACGGCCCAGACUCCUACGGGAGGCAGCAGUAGGGAAUCUUCCACAAUGGACGAAAGUCUGAUGGAGCAACGCCGCGUGAGCGAUGAAGGCCUUCGGGUCGUAAAGCUCUGUUGUUAGGGAAGAACAAGUACCGGAGUAACUGCCGGUACCUUGACGGUACCUAACCAGAAAGCCACGGCUAACUACGUGCCAGCCGCCGCGGUAA